Molecule: ribosomal RNA, 425 nt
Filed under: uncultured bacterium
Lineage: Bacteria
Description: bacterial SSU rRNA
Rfam family: Bacterial small subunit ribosomal RNA
Source: RNAcentral
UCGAGAAUAUUCCUCAAUGGGCGAAAGCCUGAAGGAGCGACGCCGCGUGUAGGACGAAGGGCUUCGGCUCGUAAACUACUUUUUUCAGGGAAGAACAUUGACGGUACCUGAAGAAUAAGAGGUUGCUAACUCUGUGCCAGCAGCAGCGGUAAUACAGAGACCUCAAGCAUUAUCCGGAUUUAUUGGGCGUAAAGGGUCCGCAGGUGGUCAUGUGCGUCGAUGGUUAAAUUUUCGGGCUCAACCCGGAAACUGCCGUCGAUACGGCACGACUAGAGGUCGGAAGAGGCGAGCGGAAUUACCGGUGUAGUAGUAAUAUGCGUUGAUAUCGGUAAGAACACCAAAUGCGUAGGCAGCUCGCUGGAACGCACCUGACACUCAGGGACGAAAGCGUGGGGAGCGAAAGGGAUUAGAUACCCCUGUAGUCC